Mytilus californianus (California mussel) is the source of this 617-nucleotide long non-coding RNA. RefSeq lists it as uncharacterized. The record is from RefSeq and is a predicted model, not a curated record. The transcript has 3 exons. Lineage: Eukaryota; Metazoa; Mollusca; Bivalvia; Mytilida; Mytilidae.
AAAUUUCAUUAGCCGAACUAAUUUUUCCGCCUUUUACUUCCUACUUAGCCGAUUAUGUUAAUUAUAUCCGUCCCCUUGGACUGUCAUUAAAGUACCGGACACGCGUAUUAAUUGCUUUGAUUCAUCUGCAUCUGACAUACGGGAAGAUAGGAAGAAACAGUCAAAAUGAUUAAGGCAGUGGUAACAAUUUGUUGUCUAGUAAUCAUCGCUAUGGUAUUUGAGACACUGGCCCAGGAAAAUGCAAAUACAACUACACCGGCAGUAACAACACCUAAGACAUCGUCUGCAGUAAUUCAGUACAUCAGUGGUACAGUUCUUAUGGGAUGCAUGGCGCUUGUUCUCAGUCUAUUUUAACUGAACUAAUCACGUGGAUGAUUGACACGUCUGGAAUUUAGAAUGAGAACAUUUGCAAUCAACCAACAAAUAUGUCACCUUUAACAUGCGCCUUUUCGUUUAAUUUCAUUUUCAAUUUAUUUUUAGUAAUUUUUCUUUGCUUAAAAUUUCAUGCAGUAUUGUGACUGGUAUUUGUACAUGUAAAUGGAAAAGGGUGGAAGCAUAUAAAUGGCAGUUUGUAUUUUAUUUUUUGAAUUUUAUUCUAGUAAAAUAAGAUUAAUUAG